GCACUGCUGAGGAGUCCCACACAAGGACGAAACGGCUGUCCAGUGC
Schistosoma curassoni is the source of this 46-nucleotide non-coding RNA. The record is from Rfam. NCBI's taxonomy places the organism in Eukaryota, Metazoa, Platyhelminthes, Trematoda, Strigeidida, Schistosomatidae.